Molecule: unclassified non-coding RNA, 202 nt
Filed under: uncultured fungus
Lineage: Eukaryota; Fungi
Description: sequence contains ITS1
Source: RNAcentral
GUGUUUUGAAUUAAGUAAAUUCAUAACGUUUUACAGACAAUAGAUUAAAAAGUAAUAAUAAGAGUUGAUAUAAAAAAUACCUUGACAAAAAGAAAAUUCUGACAAGGAUUAACAUUUCACACAAGGUGGAUAUGGAUUUUUUUUUAGAGUGCCAUAAAACACUCUAUUAUGAAUGAUCCUUCCGCAGGUUCACCUACGGAAA